CUUUUUUCAGAGUGCUGUGGUUUUCAGUGUAAAGAUUUUUUAUUUCCUUCAUAAGUGUCUGAUGGAGAAAGAGUCAUUUAAGCAAAUCCUAGUGGAAAGUGGAGGACUGUCACCAUGGUGCAGCUGGAGUAGGGCCACAGCCCCUGUCCUCACCGGCGAGCAUGUCCAGGCCAGGUGAAUUUAAAUACCUGAAAUGCUUGUGGAAUGCUAUUCGGCCCGGAAGCAGCUUUAGAGGCAUCUGCACAGGUAGACACCGGCGAGGAAGGAGAGCAGAGAGCAUUUCUCUGCCCACAUCUCUGGGUCAGACACAGCUGGAAUUGCGACUCUAGAUGUUCAGCAUCUAUCAGCACCCCAACACAGCCCUGUCCACACCAUGUUCCAGAAGCCAUCAUGGUGUGGGUUUCUGUUUCAUUCCUGGUUAAUUCUGACUUUCUCAGGUAUGAUUUACUCUUGGCAGGAAAGAGUUUGUCUAUAAUUCUCAGAAAAGACUCACAUAUGCUGAAAACAUACCCAGCAAACUGACUAAAAUGCGGGGGCCUGCCCUAUUGUUCUACAGCGGAGGCUAAGAUUUUAAUUCCUAAAACAUUCUCAGGUGAAGUGGAUGUUGCAGCUCCAUGAUCCACAUUUUGAGAAGGAGGGUCCAGACCAGUGUCUGGAAUGGACCCAUCUAAGAUGCAAUGCUUGGCCUCUGUCCUGAGUACGGCCAACGCUGGGUCUGGACCACCAUGUUUACUGGUACAGUGGCAUGAUCCAUUACUGUGCAUUGGCAUGGAGCCCAGUGGACAGAGCACGUGACCAUGCACGGACUUCGGAGAGAAGAGCUGACUACUGUGAAAUGGGAAACUUUUGCCCACUCCAGUGGUGGGGUAAUCACCAUGCAUGCUUGGGAUGCACUUGCUCAGUGGCCUCCAUUGUCUUUUCCCAACAUUUUGGUCCCACCACAAUAUGCAGAUAAACAUUAACCAUUUCCCUAAAAUACUCUGUGCUUACAGAUCUGUAUACAUUUCCAAUCUCUUCUGAACGGAGCAGCCUUCAUCCUUCUCUGCUCGAUUAAACCCUGUAUUUUUCUAGAUAGCUCUCAGGACGUGGCCCUGGCUGCUUCUCAGCUAAGAUCCCCUUGACCUGGGCCCUGGCUCCAUCAGUCUGGCACCUGUGCCUGGGAGGGUAUGAGCUCCUUUUCCUCCAGCCCUGGUGGAGGCAUCAGCCUAGAAUGCUCAUCUGGGAGGCUGAACUAGCUGAUCCUCUUCAUCGAGCCUCAGUUCACCCCUGGCAUCCUGGAGUCACAGCAGCCACAGGGGUUUCUCUAUAUAUCAUCCUAUAUUGGUGCCUUUAGUGUGCUUUGUGGUACCUUAUUUGACUAUUUAUCUUCAUUUACAGAAUUCCCAACCCCACGAAGGUGAGGCCUUGACCUUCUCUACGGAGCUCUGUAUCUCCAUAGUCUAAAGCAAUGUAUGCUGGUUAGAAGCUUCCUGCACGUACUGAAUCGAUGAAAGCUAAAAGUAUUGAACACAGUAAAUGGAUCUCUGGCUUUUGCUGUGUGCCUGUCUCAAGCCUCGUUUGCACUAUGAGAAACACAAGAGUCCCUUUAGCAGGAUCUCUUAUGAGAAGUAAAAUAAUAUAAUGCACAUAAUGUGUUCAGCAUGAGGUGAGGAAGGAGCCUAGCAAAAGCACUCCUUUGCGUACAAGAGUGGCGACAGGAGUUGAGAGGAGGCAGGGAGCAGCCUCGAGACCAACACGGGAAAGUGGCCUUCUCUCUGGGCUCCAGGAGAUGGCAUAACAUAGGGGAUGUUUAUUGAGGGAGUGAGCUUGAAAGUCAGUGACUAUCUGAUGAAUGACCGUUUCACCAAGGGCUUCUGUUCCAAGAUGAUGGGUUUAUGUGUAUCUGGACUCAAGGGGGAGAUUCUAACCCGCUGCUAUCGGAAUGGUGAAAUAUUCAAAACUGGGUGUAUGGAGUGGGGAGGUAAUUAUGUGCGUGGCCAACAUAUGGCACAGGCUAUAUUUCUCCUGCUGAAAGAAACAAGUCCAAAUAUGUAGCGUACACACAUUCUCUCUCCUAUAAAUACACAGAUUGGAUGAUGCUGCAGCAACAUUUUGUUAAUACCAGAAUCCCAGAGGAAUCAUUGGAAGCAUUUUAUCAGAGGAACAGAUGGUUGGGUCCCUCCUGGUCUGAAGGCAUUUCUGGCUGUCAUGUGGUUUUUCUAUAAAUAAACCCCACUGAAAGGCAAAAGAAGGUAAGCAAUCAGUUUCACUCUCUUAUCUUCACAAAAGAAAGCACUGAAAAAAAUAAAAUAAAAGGCUGGCUAGUUUAAAGAUGCUUCUAUCAUCAAACCCAAGGGCUGAAGCGAUCUUGUAAACCCAUCAGAGCAUCUGCUCCUUCUAGGCAAAACCCC
This 2390-nucleotide long non-coding RNA is filed under the name Fukomys damarensis (Damara mole-rat). Its description in RNAcentral is "lncRNA (ENSFDAG00000026757.1)". Lineage: Eukaryota; Metazoa; Chordata; Mammalia; Rodentia; Bathyergidae. The record is from RNAcentral.